Mastomys coucha (southern multimammate mouse) is the source of this 588-nucleotide long non-coding RNA. RefSeq lists it as uncharacterized. NCBI's taxonomy places the organism in Eukaryota, Metazoa, Chordata, Mammalia, Rodentia, Muridae. The record is from RefSeq and is a predicted model, not a curated record. The transcript is spliced from 2 exons.
AGCCCUUCCGACUUGCCCAGAAACAGGCCAGCUGUGGAAUCUGUCCGGUUGGAGAGGCCACAGGCUGACAAGAUGAGACCAGUUGAGACCAGUUCUGCACACCUGUAGCUGGAGCUCUGAGCAGCUCACUGCCUGUCUUGGAUGAAGGCUGCGAGCCUUCAUUUAUGAUGGGGACUUUACUAUCUCUUAGAGUGUUUCAAAACCCAUCUCUAGUUGGAUUGGCAUCUCAAAGCUUGUAAUCCUAACUACUCAGCAGGCUGAGCUGCUGAAGAGCAUUCUCUUCGGUUCAUAAAGAAGGUCAAAUCCCGUUUGGUCAAUACCUGUGACACAGCUGGAAGGAAGUACCGAGGGGUGAGAGCAGUCUAACAUGAAAAACAAGUAAAAGACAAAGAGUGGGGUCAGCGAGCAGCCUGGAUCAAUGAUGCCCAAACUCUGGGAAAAUGUAUCUGUGGGUGAACCCCAGGCUUCCAGGAAUCAAUCAACAGCCCUUGAAAAAUUGUGUCUUCCAUAAAAAUGUCACCUGAGCCUUCAGUGUCACAAUGAAGGUGCCGAUAGCCAGGCACAAAAUAAAUGGCCCAUUAAUACUCA